GGAGAAUUGGCAGAGUGGUCGAACGCACUGGUCUUGAAAACCAGCGUACCGCAAGGUACCGUAGGUUCGAAUCCUACAUUCUCCGCCA
RNAcentral lists this transfer RNA (88 nucleotides) under Crocinitomicaceae bacterium. Its description in RNAcentral is "tRNA-Ser". It matches the Rfam family "tRNA". From Rfam's summary of the family: Transfer RNA (tRNA) molecules are approximately 80 nucleotides in length. Their secondary structure includes four short double-helical elements and three loops (D, anti-codon, and T loops). The record is from RNAcentral. RNAcentral also lists the same sequence under 1 other name. Lineage: Bacteria; Pseudomonadati; Bacteroidota; Flavobacteriia; Flavobacteriales; Crocinitomicaceae.